ACGCUCGACACCUACGGGGGGCAGCAGUGAGGAAUAUUGGUCAAUGGGCGCUAGCCUGAACCAGCCAAGUAGCGUGAAGGAUGAAGGCUCUAUGGGUCGUAAACUUCUUUUAUAUAAGAAUAAAGUGCAGUAUGUAUACUGUUUUGUAUGUAUUAUAUGAAUAAGGAUCGGCUAACUCCGUACCAGCAGCCGCGGUAAUCUGAGCGGGCUGGCAAGGC
Molecule: ribosomal RNA, 218 nt
Filed under: uncultured bacterium
Lineage: Bacteria
Description: partial 16S ribosomal RNA
Rfam family: Bacterial small subunit ribosomal RNA
Source: RNAcentral